Molecule: ribosomal RNA, 1250 nt
Filed under: Hydroides elegans (calcareous tube worm)
Lineage: Eukaryota; Metazoa; Annelida; Polychaeta; Sabellida; Serpulidae
Description: 12S ribosomal RNA
Rfam family: Microsporidia small subunit ribosomal RNA (bases 544-1104)
Source: RNAcentral
AAGUAAAGGCCGACUUGUGGGCCAUGAAAAGGCCUAAAUAAUCAGUUGCUAUACUACAUACAAGGUCACCGGGUUGGCGAUACACACACUAGGCCAGUAUUUUAAACAAACUACUAAGGAGGCUAGGUAAAAAUAUGAGGUAGCCCAGAGAUUUACUAUUAUUAAAGUAAAAACAAUAUUUACUUCUCGGGUUGUUAAAAAAUUUUUUAGUGCGGGAUAGGCAACUUAAGCUUUAAAACGAUCGGCCCCAUUUACUUAAAGCCCAGCGCUGGCAAGUAUCACCGAAAAUUGAGCCGGCAAUUAGUUAUUGCUAAACCCAGUGGUUAUUUAGUUUCUGGCUGUGUAAUCGAACGGUGCCAGCACUAGCGGUUAGACCCCAAGCCAUAGUUGUUUAUGAGCGGUUGAAGCCUAGCUAACAAGAAUUUACUCUUUAAUUGGUGAAAUAAGAAAGGAGAUGAUCGUUUCGGUACGUAGCGGCUUAAAGUUAAAGUAAGUUAGAGACGAGGAUUAGUGCCCUCUUAUUCUUAAACCUAAUUGUUUACCGGGUCAGUACGUGUGACGUGCAUGAAAGCCAAACUUGGUGACGGUUAUCUAACAAUGCAGUGGAGCUUGGGCCUUAAUAUGUCGAUCCGCAUGAACCCAACCCCCCUUGAGAAUAGAUUUUUCUUAAAGAGAAAAUAGGUAGGCAUAAAUAAUAUUUUAUGUCUACACAGUUGCUGUAUGGCUGUCCAAGUGUGAAGGUUACUUUACAGUGAAAACCCUACCGUGGCUAGUUACUAUAAUUUCACUUUUAUAAAUAGAAGUAAGUAGUGUAGAUGGAUAAUUUAAAAGGUUAGUAAGCUUUUAGGUUUAUCCUGUGUCGGUUAAUCCCGGCGGUAGAAAAAAGUCAGGUGAUAUUGUGCCUAAAGGAGGGAGAGCUUGAGCUACUUUAGAUAAGAUUUCACUUUCUUUGAAACAUUACCUAGUUCAGAAGGAAUUGCAAGUAAACCCUAAAUUAGCACUUAGAGUUGAAUAUGUUAACUAGAUAGUGUACAUACCGCCCGUCACCCGCCCAGUAAUGGGUGGUAAGUCGUAACAUGGUGAGUGUUGGUGAACCAGUACUUUAUUAACAGUUUUAACCCCCAAGGGUGAAAAAAGUUUUUUAUUUUCCAAGUCCUAAAUAUUGGAAAAAUUGUUCUUAUUCUCCUACUAUAAAUCAGAAAAACGAAUAGAAAUUUUUUAAACCCGAUAUAAGUAUAAAUUUUCAGGCA